UCGGGAUUAUUGCGCGAUGGAGGAAACUCUGACGCAGUGACGCCGCGUGCAGGAAGAAGGUUUUCGGUUUGCAACCUGCUUUAGACAGGGAAGAAACAAGACAGUACCUGUAGAAUAAGCUCCGGCUAACUACGUGCCAGCCGCCGCGGUAAUACGUAGGGAGCAUGCGUUAUCCGGAUUUAUUGGGUGUAAAGGGUGCGUAGACGGGAAUGCAAGUUGGUUGUGAUAUCCCGCGGCUCAACCGAGGAAUUGCAACCAAAACUAUAUUACUUGAGUGAUGGAGAGGAAAGUAGAAUUACUAGUGUAGCAGUGAAAUGCGUAGAUAUUAGGAAGAACACCAGUGGCGAAGGAGACUUUCUGGACAGUAACUGACGUUGGGGCACGAAAGUGUGGGGGGCAAACAGG
This 405-nucleotide ribosomal RNA is filed under the name bacterium. Its description in RNAcentral is "partial 16S ribosomal RNA". It matches the Rfam family "Bacterial small subunit ribosomal RNA", at positions 355 to 776 of the family's 1533-position model. The record is from RNAcentral.